CAAGGAAUAACUAAUUGUUGUGGAUUAAAUGAAAAUUAUAUUUUAGGUUUAGGUUCCACCACAAUCAACUAUUAUUUUGGGGCCUUUUAUAGUUCAUUGUUGAAGGCUGUAAGGUGACUUUCAGUUGCUAAUUUCUGUGACACUUGGUCUCUUGUGGAAGGUGGUCUCAUUGGUAAUCAUACCAGAUCUUCUUAUUUUUAUAAUAACAUAAAAGAGAAAUUACCAAAAAUACAACAAACAUCAACUUCCAACACCAACUCCUGGGAAACACAGACAGAUAACAACAAUUAACACAUGAUCAUAUAUCUUGAUUCAUAAACAGCAAACGACACAUGAUUAUAUAUCUUGAUUUGUGAACCACAAACAACACAUGAUCAUAACAUAUCUUGAUUUGUGAACAGCAAACAACACAUGAUCAUAACAUAUCUUGGUUUGUGAACAGCAAACAACACAUGAUCCUAACAUAUCUUAUUUGUGAACAGCAAACAACACAUGAUCAUAACAUAUCUUGAUAUGUGAACAACAAACAACACAUGAUCAUAUAUCUUGAUUUGUGAACAGCAAACAACACAUGAUCAUAUCUGUUAAUUUAGUGAACAGCAAACAACACAUGAUCAUAUAUCUUGAUUUGUGAACCACAAACAACACAUGAUCCUAACAAAUCUUGAUUUGUGAAUGACAAACAACACAUGAUCAUGUAUCUUGAUGCAUGAACAGCAAACAACACUUGAUCAUAUAUCUUGAUUUGUGAACAGCAAAUAACACAUGAUCAUAUAUCUAGAUUUGUGAACAGCAAACAACACAUGAUCAUAACAUAUCUUGAUUUGUGAACAAUAAACUACACAAGAUCAUAUCUGUUGGUUUAGUGAACAGCAAACAACACGUGAUCAUAACAUAUCUUGAUUUGUGAACAGUAAACAACACAUGAUCAUAUAUCUUGAUUUGUGAACCACUAACAACACAUGAUCAUGACAUAUCUUGAUUUGUGAACAGCAA
RNAcentral lists this long non-coding RNA (996 nucleotides) under Mytilus galloprovincialis (Mediterranean mussel). Lineage: Eukaryota; Metazoa; Mollusca; Bivalvia; Mytilida; Mytilidae. The record is from RNAcentral.